CAGUCGCCGCGGGAAUACGGAGGGGGUUAGCGUUGUCCGGAAUUACUGGGCGUAAAGCGCACGUAGGCGGCUUGGUAAGUUAGAGGUGAAAGCCCAGGGCUCAACCCUGGAAUUGCCUUUAAGACUGCCGAGCUAGUAGGUGAGAGAGGUGAGUGGAAUUCCGAGUGUAGAGGUGAAAUUCGUAGAUAUUCGGAAGAACACCAGUGGCGAAGGCGGCUCACUGGCUCAUUCUAGACGCUGAGGUGCGAAAGCGUGGGGAGCAAAUAGGAUUAGAUACCCCCGUAGUCCCUGUCUCUUAUAC
Molecule: ribosomal RNA, 301 nt
Filed under: uncultured bacterium
Lineage: Bacteria
Description: partial 16S ribosomal RNA
Rfam family: Bacterial small subunit ribosomal RNA
Source: RNAcentral